AUGCACUGCCUACACAAGGGAGAUCAGGUCCCUAAGCAGAGUUCUCUGAGCAAACUUUGUCCUUUCAUUGAUUCAGAAGGCCUUCUCCGCGUCAGAGGACGACUGAAAAGGUCACAACUCACAGCAGAAGAAGGUCAGCCGAUUAUCAUGCCUGGUAAACAUCAUGUUACCUCCUUGCUUAUCAGACACUACCAUGAGCAAGUCUGUCACCAAGGACGUCACUUGACAGAAGGCGCUUUGAGGAGUGCUGGGUUUUGGAUCAUUGGAGGCAGACGAUCCAUCAGCAGUUUGAUCUACACCUGUGUGACAUGUCGAAGACUGCGUGGGAGAGAAGAGGAGCAGAUAAUGGCGGACCUGCCUGCUGAUCGUUUGAGUUCAGAUCCUCCAUUUACCUCUGUUGGGUUGGACGUGUUCGGACCUUGGUGUGUCACCUCAAGGAGGACACGUGGAGGGCUAGCCAACAGUAAGCGCUGGGCAGUCAUCUUCACAUGUAUGAGCACACGUGCCAUACACAUCGAGGUCAUCGAAUCACUGGAUUCAUCCAGUUUCAUUAACGCUCUAAGACGCUUCUUUGCAGUUAGAGGGCCUGUCAAACAACUAAGGUCAGACUGUGGAACUAAUUUUGUUGGAGCCUGCCGAGAGCUUGGGAUCAGUUCAAAGGGCUGUAGCAAUAAGGACGUGUCCAACUACCUGUCUGAUCAGGGCUGUGUUUGGUUGUUCAACCCUCCCCACUCUUCACACAUGGGAGGAAGCUGGGAGAGGAUGAUUGGUGUCACACGUCGGAUCCUUGACGCAAUGUUCCUCAAGCUUGGGUCCGUUCAGCUCACUCAUGAGGUCCUGACAACAUUGAUGGCAGAGGUAACUGCAAUUGUCAAUUCCAGACCGCUUACUUCAGUGUCCACAGAUCCAGACGAACCUCUCAUCCUCACUCCUGCUAUGUUGCUAACUCAGAAGAUUGCUGUACCUCCUGUUCCUCCUGGUAACUUUGGUGAUAGUAAUAUUUUUAGACGUCAGUGGCAUCAGGUUCAAAGCUUAGCCAACACAUUCUGGGAGAGGUGGAAAAGGGAGUACCUCAGUAGUCUACAAGGUCGAAAGAAAUGGAGAACAGAGAGGCCUAAUCUCAUGGACGGAGAUGUUGUUCUGAUGAAAGACAAUUCACUGGGGAGACAUGACUGGCCCACAGGACUGAUCACGGAGACUUUUCCGAGUGANUACCUCAGUAGUCUACAAGGUCGAAAGAAAUGGAGAACAGAGAGGCCUAAUCUCAUGGACGGAGAUGUUGUUCUGAUGAAAGACAAUUCACUGGGGAGACAUGACUGGCCCACAGGACUGAUCACGGAGACUUUUCCGAGUGAGGAUGGAAAGGUCAGGAAGGUUGAGGUGAAGAUAGUCAGAGACAAUGUUCCGAAACUGUACGUAAGGCCAGUGUCUGAAGUUAUACUUCUGUUGCAAAGAAACUCUGUGAAGUAA
This 1470-nucleotide long non-coding RNA is filed under the name Nothobranchius furzeri (turquoise killifish). RNAcentral describes it as "lncRNA (ENSNFUG00015009872.1)". Lineage: Eukaryota; Metazoa; Chordata; Actinopteri; Cyprinodontiformes; Nothobranchiidae. The record is from RNAcentral.